Molecule: ribosomal RNA, 1343 nt
Filed under: uncultured bacterium
Lineage: Bacteria
Description: 16S ribosomal RNA
Rfam family: Bacterial small subunit ribosomal RNA
Source: RNAcentral
GACGAACGCUGGCGGCGUGCUUAACACAUGCAAGUCGAACGGAAAGGCCCUGCUUUUGUGGGGUGCUCGAGUGGCGAACGGGUGAGUAACACGUGAGUAACCUGCCCUUGACUUUGGGAUAACUUCAGGAAACUGGGGCUAAUACCGGAUAGGAGCUCCUGCUGCAUGGUGGGGGUUGGAAAGUUUCGGCGGUUGGGGAUGGACUCGCGGCUUAUCAGCUUGUUGGUGGGGUAGUGGCUUACCAAGGCUUUGACGGGUAGCCGGCCUGAGAGGGUGACCGGCCACAUUGGGACUGAGAUACGGCCCAGACUCCUACGGGAGGCAGCAGUGGGGAAUAUUGCACAAUGGGCGGAAGCCUGAUGCAGCAACGCCGCGUGCGGGAUGACGGCCUUCGGGUUGUAAACCGCUUUCGCCUGUGACGAAGCGUGAGUGACGGUAAUGGGUAAAGAAGCACCGGCUAACUACGUGCCAGCAGCCGCGGUGAUACGUAGGGUGCGAGCGUUGUCCGGAUUUAUUGGGCGUAAAGGGCUCGUAGGUGGUUGAUCGCGUCGGAAGUGUAAUCUUGGGGCUUAACCCUGAGCGUGCUUUCGAUACGGGUUGACUUGAGGAAGGUAGGGGAGAAUGGAAUUCCUGGUGGAGCGGUGGAAUGCGCAGAUAUCAGGAGGAACACCAGUGGCGAAGGCGGUUCUCUGGGCCUUUCCUGACGCUGAGGAGCGAAAGCGUGGGGAGCGAACAGGCUUAGAUACCCUGGUAGUCCACGCUGUAAACGGUGGGUACUAGGUGUGGGGUCCAUUCCACGGGUUCCGUGCCGUAGCUAACGCUUUAAGUACCCCGCCUGGGGAGUACGGCCGCAAGGCUAAAACUCAAAGGAAUUGACGGGGCCCCGCACAAGCGGCGGAGCAUGCGGAUUAAUUCGAUGCAACGCGUAGAACCUUACCUGGGUUUGACAUGGAUCGGGAGUGCUCAGAGAUGGGUGUGCCUCUUUUGGGGUCGGUUCACAGGUGGUGCAUGCCUGUCGUCAGCUCGUGUCGUGAGAUGUUGGGUUAAGUCCCGCAACGAGCGCAACCCUUGUUCACUGUUGCCAGCACGUUAUGGUGGGGACUCAGUGGAGACCGCCGGGGUCAACUCGGAGGAAGGUGGGGAUGACGUCAAGUCCUCAUGCCCCUUAUGUCCAGGGCUUCACGCAUGCUACAAUGGCUGGUACAGAGAGUGGCGAGCCUGUGAGGGUGAGCGGAUCUCGGAAAGCCGGUCUCAGUUCGGAUUGGGGUCUGCAACUCGACCUCAUGAAGUCGGAGUCCCUAGUAAUCGCAGAUCAGCAACGCUGCGGUGAAUACGUUCCCGGG